UACGUAGGCAGCGAGCGUUGUUCGGAAUUAUUGGGCGUAAAGGGUGCGUAGGCGGUUUGGUAAGUCUGAUGUGAAAUCUAUGGGCUCAACUCAUAGUCUGCAUCGGAAACUGCCGGGCUUGAGUGUGGGAGAGGUGAGUGGAAUUCCUGGUGUAGCGGUGAAAUGCGUAGAUAUCAGGAGGAACACCUGUGGCGAAAGCGGCUCACUGGACCAUAACUGACGCUGAUGCACGAAAGCUAGGGGAGCAAACAGG
This 253-nucleotide ribosomal RNA is filed under the name uncultured bacterium. RNAcentral describes it as "partial 16S ribosomal RNA". It matches the Rfam family "Bacterial small subunit ribosomal RNA", at positions 524 to 776 of the family's 1533-position model. The record is from RNAcentral.